RNAcentral lists this unclassified non-coding RNA (345 nucleotides) under soil metagenome. RNAcentral describes it as "partial contains 5.8S ribosomal RNA, internal transcribed spacer 2, and large subunit ribosomal RNA". The stretch from base 1 to 120 matches the Rfam family "5.8S ribosomal RNA", at positions 35 to 154 of the family's 154-position model. The record is from RNAcentral.
GAUGAAGAACGUAGCGAAAUGCGAUAAGUAAUGUGAAUUGCAGAAUUCAGUGAAUCAUCGAGUCUUUGAACGCACAUUGCGCCCCCUGGUAUUCCGGGGGGCAUGCCUGUCCGAGCGUCAUUGCUGCCCUCAAGCACGGCUUGUGUGUUGGGCCCCGUCCUCCGAUCCCGGGGGACGGGCCCGAAAGGCAGCGGCGGCACCGCGUCCGGUCCUCGAGCGUAUGGGGCUUUGUCACCCGCUCUGUAGGCCCGGCCGGCGCUUGCCGAUCAACCCAAAUUUUUAUCCAGGUUGACCUCGGAUCAGGUAGGGAUACCCGCUGAACUUAAGCAUAUCAAUAAGCGAGGA